This is a non-coding RNA of Dermacentor albipictus, 1657 nucleotides long. The record is from RefSeq and is a predicted model, not a curated record. NCBI's taxonomy places the organism in Eukaryota, Metazoa, Arthropoda, Arachnida, Ixodida, Ixodidae.
UUACCUAGUCUUUCACACCGUUGUGAACGACAAUAAACCUCGUCGCAUUUGGUGGAGUUUGCUGAGAUCCUUCACCUCGUCCUGGAGCUCCGUACACGAACCCUGCCAACAAAAUCGUCCUGCACUAUGCCCGAUCCCGCCACCUCAUUGCCUGCACCCCCGGCUGCCACUGUCAUCUGCGCCGGCGUCCCUCGUCCAAGCGACCCACCCAUUUUCAGUCGGACCGCCGAACACGACGUGGAAGACUGGCUGUCAUCGUAAGAACGUCUAUCUGCUGCUGUUUCGGCGCCUGUCGUCCUGGCUUUCCUGGGGCUUGUGAAGAUUCCUAAUCAUCGUGCCUGCCUACACCAGCAAGUAUUCUGCUGCUCUGCGCAUGCCCAGACGUACCUACACCAGGCGUGAAGUUGACUGACCUACGACGUCACCAGGAUCUCGACGCCACCUUGGGCCAUAAAAGCGGCGGCCUCACAGUGAAACGAGUCAUUUGGCAGCAGCAGCAGCUGGACGUGAACUCGUCUCUCACGAACGCCGCUUCAAUUUUUUCAGGCUGUCCUGAUAUGGACCGUCUCGACGUUGCCGUUUUGCUUCGCUGGCUUGCUGAUACCUGAUCGACACCGCCCUAUGAAGCCACUCCACCUCCCGCCUCUGAUUCAGGACGUCGCAGAAGCUAGCGCUUUCCCGCUUUUUCCCGCCUGGAAUGAGCCUUUCAUCUGGCAACCGGCUGCAACGGAAUACCUACUUAAUCCACGUCUGCACCGGCUCGACUUGGGGCACGUCACCGCAUCAAACACGGUCAUGCCAACACCGCUCUCUGUGCAGUUGUGCCCCAGGCCGCCAGGCCAACGCUACCCUUGGGGCUUGCGACACAAAUGCAACAACUGUCUGCCAGCGGUGAGAUCGCGAAAACGGAGGCCAGCAGCGAAGAUAUGCGGUUGACUAUGCUGAGCAGCACAACGACCAUCCGGGAGCAGUGCAACGAGUUCUGUGUGAUGACUGGUUGCCUGCAGCGGAACGACUGCGCUGAAUUCUUGGCUGCGAGGUUUGAGCGCAGCUCCUUGGCGCCUGUUCCUGCGCUUCGCGGCGCCGUCAGGCCCCGCACACUCUGAAGUUCCAGCGAUAGCUACAGAGGGCGAAAAAUCCCAGUUCCAGCAUGAAGCGCGCAAGUGGAGCUACUAUAAUUUUGUCGAUACUUUAUAUGGUAUUUUUUUUUUGCUAAGGCCGCUCAACGCGACUAAAUAUUUGAUGUAUGUACAUAUGGUAACCGUGAAACAUAGUUACCGUCUAUUUUUUUUUUUGGGGGGGGGGGAAUAGGCAGACAAUUGUUUUUAUUGGGCUUACGUUAUUAAACCUUGUGCUUUAUUACUUGAAUAAACGUUUUGAGACCUCAUUGACCUGUUAUAAGCAGCGGCCCACUGGUAUCGACUGCAGUUAGUGCCUUUAUCGAUUCAUACCCUGAUGGCAAGGCGAUUUGUUGUUCGUUCCGAGAGAACAUCAUCGGAUGCAUUAUAGGUAUUCUCAGGCUCUUCUCUUCCUGCUGUAAGCUGGAUGCUAUGCUUAUAAGAGUUAAGUGUUCGUUGUGAUCACUAUAUGUGAUCUUGCUAAAGUUUACUGUGAUGUUUGCAUAUUCUUAUUGAAUAAAAUUGUUACAAAGUUUUAA